RNAcentral lists this long non-coding RNA (223 nucleotides) under Elaeis guineensis (African oil palm). RNAcentral describes it as "long non-coding RNA (EGUI_LNC045460)". Lineage: Eukaryota; Viridiplantae; Streptophyta; Magnoliopsida; Arecales; Arecaceae. The record is from RNAcentral.
CCAUCAUAAAUAUCAUUGAAACUCUUUUUAAUGAAUUGAAAUAAUUUCAACUCAUCCAACGAGAAUUAUUGAUCAUCAAUUAAUUUUUACGGAUCUCACAAUCCACCAGUGAUGCCUAGUAGCAUGUAGUAGCAAUCUAGCAGAAUGGAAGAAUUUGAACCUCAAGGUGUGUUACGGGUGAUUCAAAUCUUCUAUCAUGAGUCCUGAUAAGAUAGAGAUUAUG